AAAUAACAACACUUAAAAAAUUGAAAAUUAAAAAAUUAAUAAAAAGUACCUGCUCACGGAGCCCUGCACCUGCCUCGGAGGUCUCGAUCGAGGCUGCCACCCUGCUCCUCCCAGCGCAGAGCCGCUCGCUGCUACCACCCGCCGCUCCCUAUAUAGGCGGCGGCCUAUGGGCGCGGCGGCGGCUGUUGGCCGCGGCCAGUUGGAGGCCGGGGCCGCAACCACCCGUGCCGCCGCCCUGGUAACCCAAGCGGCCUCGAGUCGCCGUGGAGACCCUGCCAGGGCCGGGCCGGCCGAGUAGGGGCCGACGCGGGCCGAGCCGGGCGCGGGGCGGGGAACUGCAGGCCCGCCUCCGCCCCGCGCCCGGUCCGCUCGGGCCGGUGGUGGUCUGAGCCGCCUCAGCCCCGCGCCGGGUGGCGGCCAGCGGCGGUUUCUCGGUUUUUGAACCCCGAACCCUGAAGGACCCGUUAGGGCAAAAACAUAGUGGUUAAAGGCAGAAAUAUGAAUAACGGGAUGAGUUUGUAUGCGGUGUCCCAGAGAGAAGUUGUUUGUAGUAAGAGGGGAAGCUAGAGGGAUUGGCAAAAGCAAGAGGGAUGUGUGGGAAGUGGGAGCAGGCAGAAGGAACGAAGACCAAACAAGAUACAGCUAGCAGGCAAUGCUGAGAAUAACAAGAGAUCCGCGAUUACAAGGCAGAGAAAAAGGCCAGGGGAGGGCUAGCGUGCUUCGAACAGCGCUGAGCCCACAGAAGCAUUCCCUGUCUUCUGGCUUUGGUUUCCACUGAGGAGGUCAGCAGUGAAGGAGCUCCGUGUCCUUGCAGUGGCAGGGCUGUAAGCAGGUAUCAGGGUGGAGCUGUCACAGCUACAGGCGUGGGCAAGUACAGGUCAGAUAUGUUUGAAGUUUUAGCUCAUUCUCUGUCAGCACUGAAUGCGUCAACUGCUUUUUCAAGGGAUCUUCCUUUGGCAGUGCUGGAGAUGGCUCUUUUGUUUCAGGAAAACGUCUGGCUAUGAUACUGAAGAAAAUAAAAUAUCAUACAGGCAAGCUGACACUGGAGCGCAGCCUGUCUGCAAAUCCAACCUGUCCUCAUGCUGCAUGAUAAGACACCUUCCAGAAAUUAUACUUGGACACCUUGGCCCAUGUCUGAUUGCAAGCACAGAGAGAGGUGGAAGCUACCAAACUGGCAUCAAACACCAGCCGAAUGAUGCAUACGCAGGGAAGAAAAAUCUAAAGCCUUGAGCAGGUGCACAUUUUCCCCUUUGGGGCUCUAAUGAUCCUUAGCAGAAGAUUGUUGCAUCUGACUUAGAGUGAUUCUGGGCAGGCAAAGGCAGCACAUACAGCUUAUCCUUUGAUAACAUGCUCUGCAGGUCCACUGAACAGAUGAUGGUAGCAGAGCUUGUGGGCAGGUCCCACUCAGUGCUGGUGACAGCACCAACUGCAUGGCCUUGCCUUUAUCUGGAAGGCAUUUUCACACUGAGGGUGGUGACACGCUGGAACAGGUUGCCCANUAAGGCUGUUAAAAGAAUUUGAAAAUAAGCAAUAUUUAUCAUAUAUGAGUAGCUAUAAGGCUGACAUUCUUCCCAGAAGACCUGUGGUUUCUGUAGUUGCAUAGCCUACCUCAGGCAUGGACCAACACUUUAUUUUUCAGAAAAAUACAAAACUCCUUUUAUGUGCAGAUUGUGUGAGUACAGAAAGUGCUGCAUCCUCAUUAUAUUCCACAUUUCUGGCCUUGGUAGAUGUCAGUAGCAUAUACAUCAGAGACGAUUUUCUUGUAGUCUAGGUGUGGAGAAUAACAUUUGUUUUGCUUUAAAAUUUAUCUUCUCUUGAAGGUAAAUUAGAAAUUGAUGUUCUCUUGCAAGAGAAGGACACAGCUCGUUUCAAACUGGGAUCUAACACUGAGGAUCUGCAUCAAUGUCAGGAGGCAUUUUUCUCCCUCCAUGGGCUCCUUGCUGUCUCAGCAAGUUAUGCAAGAUGAACACAGUCUUUUAUGGUUAUUUUAUAACUAGAAGCAUAUUAUUGCCUAAUAUUUUCCAACGUCUAAAACUAAACUCUCAGUCUAUGGUAUCUGAUGGCAAUAAG
RNAcentral lists this long non-coding RNA (2070 nucleotides) under Pavo cristatus (Indian peafowl). RNAcentral describes it as "lncRNA (ENSPSTG00000015199.1)". Lineage: Eukaryota; Metazoa; Chordata; Aves; Galliformes; Phasianidae. The record is from RNAcentral.